UCUCUGUGACGAGCAAACAAAGAUGACGAGUCUGAAAAUCCAUUCUUUCAAUGUGAAGAAAAAUCGAGGCAUUUGUCUGAGAGAU
This is a small nucleolar RNA of Tripterygium wilfordii, 85 nucleotides long. The record is from RefSeq and is a predicted model, not a curated record. Lineage: Eukaryota; Viridiplantae; Streptophyta; Magnoliopsida; Celastrales; Celastraceae.